Molecule: small nuclear RNA, 55 nt
Filed under: Gallus gallus (chicken)
Lineage: Eukaryota; Metazoa; Chordata; Aves; Galliformes; Phasianidae
Source: RNAcentral
CCUGGUUAGUACUUGGAUGGGAGACCUCCUGGGAAUACCGGGUGCUGUAGGCUUU